ACCUGACUGCUAUCGGAUUGAUACUAAGCCAUGCGAGUCUUUGUAGUAAUACAAGGCAUACGGCUCAGUAACGCGUAGUCAACCUACCCUAUGGACAAGAAUAAUCUCGGGAAACUGAGCAUAAUUCUUGAUAGAUCAUAAUGCCUGGAAUGGUUUAUGGUUAAAAUGAUUCGUCGCCAUAGGUUGGGACUGCGGCCUAUCAGCUUGUUGGUGAGGUAAUGGCCCACCAAGGCGAUUACAGGUACGGGCUCUGAGAGGAGAAGCCCGGAGAUGGGUACUGAGACAAGGACCCAGGCCCUAUGGGGCGCAGCAGGCGAGAAAACUUUGCAAUGUGCGAAAGCACGACAAGGUUAGUCCGAGUGAUUUCUGCUAAAGAGAUCUUUUGCUAGUUAUAAAACCACUAGUGAAUAAGGGGUGGGCAAGUUCUGGUGUCAGCCGCCGCGGUAAAACCAGCACCUCAAGUGGUCAGGAUGAUUAUUGGGCCUAAAGCAUCCGUAGCCGGCUCUGUAAGUUUUCGGUUAAAUCUGUACGCUCAACGUACAGGCUGCCGGAAAUACUGCAGAACUAGGGAGUGGGAGAGGUAGACGGUACUCGGUAGGAAGUGGUAAAAUGCUUUGAUCUAUCGAUGACCACCUGUGGCGAAGGCGGUCUACCAGAACACGUCCGACGGUGAGGGAUGAAAGCUGGGGGAGCAAACGGGAUUAGAUACCCGGGUAGUCCUAGCUGUAAACGCUGUGGACUUGAUGUUGGGUUGGCUCCGAGCACCCUCAGUGUCGAAGCGAAGGUGGUAAGUCCACUGCCUGGGGAGUACGGUCGCAAGUAUGAAACUUAAAGGAAUUGGCGGGGGAGCACCACAAGGGGUGAAGCCUGCGGUUC
Molecule: ribosomal RNA, 876 nt
Filed under: uncultured archaeon
Lineage: Archaea
Description: bacterial SSU rRNA
Rfam family: Archaeal small subunit ribosomal RNA
Source: RNAcentral